CCUACGGGAGGCAGCAGUGAGGAAUAUUGGUCAAUGGGCGCGAGCCUGAACCAGCCAAGCAGCGUGAAGGAUGAAUGCCCUAGGGGUUGUAAACUUCUUUUAUAAAGGAAUAAAGUGAGGCACGUGUGCCUUAUGGUAUGGACUUUAUGAAUAAGGACCGGCUAACUCCGUGCCAGCAGCCGCGGUAAUACGGAGGAUCCGAGCGUUAUUCGGAUGUAUUGGGUUUAAAGGGAGCGUAGAUGGGUUGUUAAGUCAGUUGUGAAAGUUUGGGGCUCAACCGUAAAAUUGCAAUUGAUACUGGCAGUCUUGAGUACAGUUGAGGUAGGGGGAAUUCGUGGUGUAGCGGUGAAAUGCUUAGAUAUCACGAAGAA
This 371-nucleotide ribosomal RNA is filed under the name uncultured bacterium. RNAcentral's name for it is "partial 16S ribosomal RNA". It matches the Rfam family "Bacterial small subunit ribosomal RNA", at positions 338 to 706 of the family's 1533-position model. The record is from RNAcentral.